Molecule: ribosomal RNA, 465 nt
Filed under: uncultured bacterium
Lineage: Bacteria
Description: partial 16S ribosomal RNA
Rfam family: Bacterial small subunit ribosomal RNA
Source: RNAcentral
GACGAACGCUGGCGGCGUGCUUAACACAUGCAAGUCGAACGGAAAGGCCCUGCUUGCAGGGUACUCGAGUGGCGAACGGGUGAGUAACACGUGGGUGAUCUGCCCUGCACUUCGGGAUAAGCCUGGGAAACUGGGUCUAAUACCGGAUAGGAGCCAUUUUUAGUGUGAUGGUUGGAAAGUUUUUUCGGUGUAGGAUGAGCUCGCGGCCUAUCAGCUUGUUGGUGGGGUAAUGGCCUACCAAGGCGGCGACGGGUAGCCGGCCCGAGAGGGUGGACGGCCACAUUGGGACUGAGAUACGGCCCAGACUCCUACGGGAGGCAGGAGUGGGGAAUAUUGCACAAUGGGCGCAAGCCUGAUGCAGCGACGCCGCGUGGGGGAUGACGGCCUUCGGGUUGUAAACUCCUUUCGCUAGGGACGAAGCUUUUUGUGACGGUACCUAGAUAAGAAGCACCGGCUAACUACGUG